AGUAUAAAAGACGAAUCUGUUUAGAUUUUUGGUCAGAAAUAAAAAUAUUAUUAUCUAACUAGUUGUUCCUCUAGAUCGUGAAGAAAAGUUUCUUAAAAAUGGCUAAAAUUGUCUUUACUGUACUCUUGCUGGCUAUUUUUGCCAUCGUCUCUACACUUGCGUAUCCCGGCGCUUAUCCAGGACCAAAUCCAGUGGCAGCACCCUCUCCACAAUAUUUAGGAUAUUCCUACCCGUAUUAUUCCAGCUAUUCGUACCCGUACGCCUAUGCUUAUUACAGAUAAAUUGAUAAAUAACCUACAAUUCCAGUUAAUAUGAUAUAUGCAUUAUCAUAUUGACUUUUCAUGUAGAUUAUCUUACGACAAACCUUGGCAUGACACUAGGAUAUGUGUAUUAGUUUUAACCAAAAACUAUAUUGUAUAUAAAGCGCUUUGUAUAUUAGUUUUAUAAAAAAAUUGAAAAAUA
This is a long non-coding RNA of Sitophilus oryzae (rice weevil), 462 nucleotides long. RefSeq lists it as uncharacterized. The record is from RefSeq and is a predicted model, not a curated record. The transcript is spliced from 2 exons. Lineage: Eukaryota; Metazoa; Arthropoda; Insecta; Coleoptera; Curculionidae.